UCACACUUCGUGUCCGCUCUCUAAUUCAAAUAGUUUUCAUCCGAUCUUUACCAAACUUGGUCAGAAGUUGUAUCCAGACAAUAUCUAGGUCAAGUUCGAAUAUGGGUCAUGCCGGGUCAAAAACUAGGUCACUGGGUCACUUAGUGCAUUUCAAGGAUUUAGCAUGGUGUCCGCUCUCUAAUUGAAGUAGUUUUCAUCUGAUCUUUACUAAACUUGGUAAGAAGUUGUAUCAAGACAAUAUCUAGGUCAAGUUCGAAUAUGGGUCA
Dreissena polymorpha is the source of this 266-nucleotide long non-coding RNA. RefSeq lists it as uncharacterized. The transcript is spliced from 2 exons. The record is from RefSeq and is a predicted model, not a curated record. Lineage: Eukaryota; Metazoa; Mollusca; Bivalvia; Myida; Dreissenidae.